This 451-nucleotide ribosomal RNA is filed under the name uncultured bacterium. RNAcentral's name for it is "bacterial SSU rRNA". It matches the Rfam family "Bacterial small subunit ribosomal RNA", at positions 340 to 784 of the family's 1533-position model. The record is from RNAcentral.
UACGGGAGGCAGCAGGGGGAAUAUUGCACAAUGGGCGCAAGCCUGAUGCAGCCAUGCCGCGUGUAUGAAAAAGGCCUUCGGGUUGUAAAGUACUUUCAGUCGUGAGGAAGGUGUUAAGGUUAAUAACCUUAGCAAUUGACGUUAGCGACAGAAGAAGCACCGGCUAACUCCGUGCCAGCAGCCGCGGUAAUACGGAGGGUGCGAGCGUUAAUCGGAAUUACUGGGCGUAAAGGGCACGCAGGCGGUUAAUUAAGUUGGAUGUGAAAUCCCCGGGCUUAACCUGGGAAUGGCAUUCAAGACUGGUUAGCUAGAGUCUUGUAGAGGGGGUUAGAAUUCCAUGUGUAGCGGUGAAAUGCGUAGAGAUGUGGAGGAAUACCGGUGGCGAAGGCGGCCCCUGGACAAAGACUGACGCUCAUGUGCGAAAGCGUGGGGAGCAAACAGGGAUUAGAUA